UGAGGAAUCUUGCACAAUGGGCGCAAGCCUGAUGCAGCGACGCCGCGUGGGUGAAGAAGGUUUUCGGAUCGUAAAACCCUUUUCUGUGUGACGAGAACGGACGGUAGCACAGGAAUAAGUCUCGGCUAACUACGUGCCAGCAGCCGCGGUAAAACGUAGGAGACAAACGUUAUCCGGAGUUACUGGGCGUAAAGGGCGUGCAGGCGGCAGUCUAAGUCUGGCGUGAAAUAUCCCGGCUCAACCGGGAGAGGUCGUCGGAUACUGGGCAGCUCGAGGGCGGUAGAGGCGUGUGGAAUUCCGGGUGUAGUGGUGAAAUGCGUAGAGAUCCGGAGGAACACCAGUGGCGAAGGCGACACGCUGGGCCAUAACUGACGCUAAGACGCGAAAGCAUGGGUAGCGAACGGGAUUAGAUACCCUAGUAGUCCCUGAGCGGGCUGGCAAGGCGCAU
This 448-nucleotide ribosomal RNA is filed under the name uncultured bacterium. RNAcentral's name for it is "bacterial SSU rRNA". It matches the Rfam family "Bacterial small subunit ribosomal RNA", at positions 355 to 825 of the family's 1533-position model. The record is from RNAcentral.